GAGUAAUACAUCGGAACAUGUCCUGUAGUGGGGGAUAGCCCGGCGAAAGCCGGAUUAAUACCGCAUACGAUCUACGGAUGAAAGCGGGGGACCUUCGGGCCUCGCGCUAUAGGGUUGGCCGAUGGCUGAUUAGCUAGUUGGUGGGGUAAAGGCCCACCAAGGCGACGAUCAGUAGCUGGUCUGAGAGGACGACCAGCCACACUGGGACUGAGACACGGCCCAGACUCCUACGGGAGGCAGCAGUGGGGAAUUUUGGACAAUGGGCGAAAGCCUGAUCCAGCAAUGCCGCGUGUGUGAAGAAGGCCUUCGGGUUGUAAAGCACUUUUGUCCGGAAAGAAAUCCUGAGGGCUUAUAUCCUUCGGGGAUGACGGUACCGGAAGAAUAAGCACCGGCUAACUACGUGCCAGCAGCCGCGGUAAUACGUAGGGUGCGAGCGUUAAUCGGAAUUACUGGGCGUAAAGCGUGCGCAGGCGGUUUGUUAAGACCGAUGUGAAAUCCCGCGGGC
Molecule: ribosomal RNA, 505 nt
Filed under: Burkholderia sp. DsF.N013
Lineage: Bacteria; Pseudomonadati; Pseudomonadota; Betaproteobacteria; Burkholderiales; Burkholderiaceae
Description: bacterial SSU rRNA
Rfam family: Bacterial small subunit ribosomal RNA
Source: RNAcentral